AUUGAACGCUGGCGGCAGGCCUAACACAUGCAAGUCGAACAGAGUGGCGGACGGGUGAGUAAUGCCUAGGAAUCUGCCUGGUAGUGGGGGAUAACGUCCGGAAACGGGCGCUAAUACCGCAUACUAUCAGAUGAGCCUAGGUCGGAUUAGCUAGUUGGUGGGGUAAAGGCCCACCAAGGCGACGAUCCGUCACUGGUCUGAGAGGAUGAUCAGUCAAAUGGGAACUGAGACACGGUCCAGACUCCUACGGGAGGCAGAAGUGGGGAAUAUUGGCCAAUGGGCGAAAGCCUGAUCCAGCCAUGCCGCGGGUGUGAAGAAGGUCUCCGGAUUUUAAAGCACUUUAAGCUGGGAGGCGUUACCAACAGAAUAAGCACCGGCUAACUUCGUGCCAACAGCCGCGGUAAUAC
This 407-nucleotide ribosomal RNA is filed under the name uncultured bacterium. RNAcentral's name for it is "partial 16S ribosomal RNA". It matches the Rfam family "Bacterial small subunit ribosomal RNA", at positions 30 to 526 of the family's 1533-position model. The record is from RNAcentral.